UUCUCUGCCUUGGAUCAUUAUUUUUUUCAGCCAUCUCUGAAACCCAAUGAGAUAAGCUGCCCAGAAUUUGAACACUGUUGUUAGACUGUCUUAUGAUUUGAUGAUGUCAUAUUUUCGGUAUUAUCCAGUCCUUCUUGAGAAUUUUUGGAACAGUGCUGCAACAUUCUUCCAGGGCCUUCUGAUUUUAUAAUGGGCAUUAUAUUUUCAGUAAUAUCCCAUUCCUUGUCUCACCUAUCAGUUUUGCUGCACAUCCUGACAAACAGCCUAUAUACAUAUACAUUCACCAAUAUAUGCAUAUUUUCAGGUCAAUCUAUUGACCUAUGGCCUUACUAUGGACUAUAUGGCCUUGCCAAGAUACGAAAAAUUACCAAUUUUAUUCUUAGCUGUUUGCUUGCAGAAAAGUAUGAGCUGUAUCAAGAAUGUAGCGAUUAGUUCUGAACCCUCUGUAAUUAUUUGAAUGAAACAGUAAUGUAACUGUUUACUUCGCUGGCUAGGUAGAAGGAAAGACCUUAAGGCAGGACCCUCGCUCCUGGGGCAGAGGGUUGCGGGGGAACAGCUGUGGCUUGGAAACCAGGAGCAUCAGAGAAGCUGGAUCCAUGGAGAAAUCCCCAGGGAACUGUGUCUAGGGCAGGCAUCAUCAGAAGCUGGGGGACUGCAUAUGGAAUAGGGUGUGGCUGGAGGAGAUUGCAAGUGGGAGUUGGCCUGUGCAUGUGGAAACAGCAGCGACUGAGCAGGAAAUCCUGGCAGACAGGCUCCAGUGAGAGAAACCGCUCAUUGCAAACCUGUAAACUCCUGUUUGCUUGGAAUAUUCUCCUGUGCAAGUCAUCGACCCUUCACACUGCAACAUCUGCUAUGGCAAAAAGAAACAUUCCUUCAGUGACAACACACCGCGAUGACGUCCCAAGAUGGAAGGAGCCUGCUACCAGUUGAACAAUACCACCUGUUAAUAAACUUUGAAAUUUCAUUUUGCA
Long non-coding RNA from Mauremys reevesii (Reeves's turtle), 971 nucleotides. RefSeq lists it as uncharacterized. The transcript is spliced from 2 exons. Lineage: Eukaryota; Metazoa; Chordata; Testudines; Geoemydidae. The record is from RefSeq and is a predicted model, not a curated record.